GAUGAACGCUGGCGGCGUGCCUAAUACAUGCCAGUCGAGCGAACAGACGGGGAGCUUGCUCCUCUGACGUUAGCGGCGGACGGGUGAGUAACACGUGGAUAACCUACCUAUAAGACUGGGAUAACUUCGGGAAACCGGAGCUAAUACCGGAUAAUAUAUUGAACCGCAUGGUUCAAUAGUGAAAGACGGUUUUGCUGUCACUUAUAGAUGGAUCCGCGCCGCAUUAGCUAGUUGGUAAGGUAACGGCUUACCAAGGCAACGAUGCGUAGCCGACCUGAGAGGGUGAUCGGCCACACUGGAACUGAGACACGGUCCAGACUCCUACGGGAGGCAGCAGUAGGGAAUCUUCCGCAAUGGGCGAAAGCCUGACGGAGCAACGCCGCGUGAGUGAUGAAGGUCUUCGGAUCGUAAAACUCUGUUAUUAGGGAAGAACAAAUGUGUAAGUAACUAUGCACGUCUUGACGGUACCUAAUCAGAAAGCCACGGCUAACUACGUG
RNAcentral lists this ribosomal RNA (497 nucleotides) under uncultured bacterium. RNAcentral's name for it is "partial 16S ribosomal RNA". It matches the Rfam family "Bacterial small subunit ribosomal RNA", at positions 28 to 507 of the family's 1533-position model. The record is from RNAcentral.